GCCUAACACAUGCAAGUCGAGCGGCAGCACAAGUAAGUUUACUUAUGAGGUGGCGAGCGGCGGACGGGUGAGUAAUGCCUAGGGAUCUGCCCAGUCGAGGGGGAUAACAGUUGGAAACGACUGCUAAUACCGCAUACGCCCUACGGGGGAAAGAGGGGGGCCUUCGGGCCUCUCGCGAUUGGAUAGAACCUAGGUGGGAUUAGCUAGUUGGUGAGGUAAUGGCUCACCAAGGCGACGAUCCCUAGCUGUUCUGAGAGGAUGAUCAGCCACACUGGGACUGAGACACGGACCCAGACUACCUACGGGAGGCAGCA
This 314-nucleotide ribosomal RNA is filed under the name uncultured bacterium. Its description in RNAcentral is "bacterial SSU rRNA". It matches the Rfam family "Bacterial small subunit ribosomal RNA", at positions 46 to 353 of the family's 1533-position model. The record is from RNAcentral.